GAGUGCGUGCGUAUGCUCCAAACCCGAAAGCGACCGCAAAUGCACCGAAUCGUCAAGGUGAACGUCGGAGGGCGUUACUUUCAGACACGCCUCACCACGCUGCUCCGCUUCCCCGACACGUCUUUUGCCAAGAUGUUUGAGGGACUGGCAUCGACGAGCGCCUUACCGCCCACUCCAUCGCCGCCGCCGCAGCCCACAGAGAGCGAGGAUGUGUUUGUGGAUGCUAACCCCGACGUUUUUGAGAAGGUUCUGGGAUUUCUGCGCACCAACCGCAUCCAGCUGCCCUUGAAUGACGAGUGUCUGCGCGCCGAGCUCGUCCAUUAUCUCAAUGCCUGGGACCUCAUGCCGCAUGCCUUCCCUGCGUCUGCUGCAGACGGUGCCGUGGAAGGGGAGGAGGCUCAUCUCAUCGAACUCCCCGACGUGUGCGUGGUGCAGCUGUGCGACCACAUGCAGCACGACCAAGGUGUGAAGCGCCACGCCAUGACUAUCACCUACGGCGCCGACGGGUUUCAGCUCCGAAAACUCACGCAGAUGAUCCGCCGAGACCUGAAUCAGCAGCUCUCCUCCACUUACUGGCAGUGCUACCAAACCAACGAGCGGGCGGCCUUCUUCGCGACCACCAAGGUGGCCAACGGCGCCGCGGACAUUCUCACCACCUCCAUCACGCAGCAAGUUGUCCAGCACACGGAGAGACUCGGCUACCACUUAGCCACCUCAUAUGUGACUCUGAGCCCCGAUGUUGUGCACACGAGCGUGCGCAUGCUCAUCCACAACUUUAUCUUUCGGCGAGUGCGGCUCCCUGCGUUGGAGGCUGCAGAUGAAGCGUCGCUGCUGGGCGAUGGGGGGGACGAGGUGGAGACAUACCAGAACUUUGAGCCGCGCCCUGUGGGCCCGCGAAAGGUGCAGUGGGCGGACUCGCCAUCGAAGCCGCCGGCACAGGACGUCUCCACUGACCUUUGGAAGUAACGUACGCCCAGGUGUGGAUGCACGCGUGGGCGUGCGCGCGCGCACCGUCACCUAAGCAGCUCCUUCACAUUUGAUGCACACUUAUGUGGCUUCAUAAAC
This 1065-nucleotide unclassified non-coding RNA is filed under the name Leishmania donovani. RNAcentral describes it as "gene:LdHU3.19.1990(CDS-product:potassium_voltage-gated_channel_putative)". Lineage: Eukaryota; Euglenozoa; Kinetoplastea; Trypanosomatida; Trypanosomatidae. The record is from RNAcentral.